Molecule: long non-coding RNA, 3381 nt
Organism: Scylla paramamosain (green mud crab)
Lineage: Eukaryota; Metazoa; Arthropoda; Malacostraca; Decapoda; Portunidae
Exons: 7
Source: RefSeq, a predicted model, not a curated record
AUGAAAGUGAAAUUGAUAAGUUAGAAGUGGGCCAGAAUAGAGUAGCAAGGAUGGCACUGAGUGCACCGAGGUGCACAGCAGUUGAAGCCUUGAGAGGUGACAUGGGAUGGAGCACCUUCAGAGAAAGACUGACAAAAGCCACACUUAGGUACAAGAUUAGGCUUGAGAGAAUGGAUGAUGCAAGAAUAGCAAGGAAGGUGUACCUGUGGAAUGAAAGUGGAAGCAAAUGGAGGAAGAGAUGCAUGAGAAUGACAGACAGGAAUGAAUUGCAAGUUGUGUGGGCGAUAAGAAUGGCUGCUAGGAAUCAAAAUGAGCGUGAAUGGGUGGUAACAAGAGGAGGAAGAGUGGGAGCCGAAUGGGAUGUGAGAAAAUGGAAGAAUGAGAUAGACAAAGAAGUGAAAUGUGUGGGACUGAAUGAAUGGAAGAAUGAGAUGGAAAGAAAGAAGACCCUGGAAUGGUACAAGGAGAAAGAGGCCCCGAGGUAUGAAAGGUGGUAUGAUGGAAGCCUGGGCGGUGAUCUUCUCUUCCGAGCGAGGGCACAGUGUAUGGAUGUGAAUGCAAGGAGUUACAGGUGGUCUGAGUCCCGCAGCAAAGUGUGCCAGAUGUGUGACAUGGGAGAGGAUGAGACAGUGGAACAUGUGGUGCUGGAGUGUGUGCAGUAUGCCAGAGACAGGAAUGAGAUGAUGCAAGUGAUACUGACUGAGUUAGGGCAUGAUAGGAAUGAAAGAGUGGAGAAGAUAGGAAAGGAAUGGAUGGUGUUGUUGCUGGGACUGUGUAGAGAGGCGAAUGAAAGGAUGAUUGAGGCGGUGAAAGAGUUUCUGGAGAGAAUGUGGCGUGCCAGGUGUAUGAACAAUUAGGAUAGAGGAUGCUGUUCGUUUCUCUUUUUUUUUUUUUUUCCCUUUCUACAGGAGUUGCCGAUCCAAAGGCCUGGCUCAGGAGUGAUCCUGUGCCACCUGUACCAUCAAGAUCAAGAUCAAGAUGGUGAGUCUGCGUACAAAAUUGCAUCGGAGGGGUUGAUAGAGGCAGCCACAAUUAUCCAUCAUCAUCGGCGACACCAUGGCUCUUGAGAAGACCUCCUCUUCUCUCUUCCCAUCUCUUCCUCCUCCUAGCCCAACCAAGCCUAAUUCUCUCUCUCUCUCUCUCUCUCUCUCUCUCUCUCUCUCUCUCUCUCUCUCUCUCUCUCUCUCUCUCUCUCUCUCUCUCUCUCUCUCUCUCUCAGACAGACAGACCUCAAUGACAGCGUGGUGAGCGAGGAGGGGGAGUCAACCAGCAGAGUAGGGGAGCAUGACCCCUACUUUGAACCAGUGGUGACCUUGCUGGAGGUCUUCGUGGUUAGUGAUGAUGACCAGGAGGAGGAAAUGAUGAGACUGAGUUUCGAGAUCAGGCAGUACAAGCUGUUUCAUUAUCACACCUCUGAGUCGCCCCCACAGUGGAAGGAACGGGGCAUGGGGGCCAUUAACAUUCUGAGGAACAAGCAGAAGAAGGCUGUGGAGUUUGUUCAGCAGCAGAAUUAAUGCCAGUGGUUGAGUUCAGAUCCUCCAAGACACACACACACACACACAGCAGCCCCUCCACCUCCCCACAGCCCUCCACAGCCCCUGACACAGCAUCUGACACAGCCCCUUCACAGAACACCACAUACCUCACACAUACAUAAGAACAUAAGAACAUAAGAAAUAAGGGAAGCUGCAAGAAGCGACCAGGCUUACACGUGGCAGUCCCUGUAUGAAAUAUACCUACCUAUUUCCAUCUGUUAUCCCCAUCCAUAAACUUGUCUAAUCUUCUCUUAAAGCUCUCUAGUGUCCUAGCACUAACAACAUGAUUACUGAGUCCGUUCCACUCAUCUACCACUCUUUUUGAGAACAAUUUUUUUCCUAUCUCCAUCCUAAACCCAAAUUUUUCAAGCUUGUACCCAUUAUUUCUUGUUCUACCCUGGUUGCUGAUCCUAAGAAUUUUGCCUACAUCCCCCUUGUUAUAACCCUUGUACCACUCAAAGACUUCUAUCAGGUCCCCUCUUAACCUACGUAUCUCUAAAGAAUGUAAAUUUAACAGCUUCAACCUCGCCUCGUAAGGAAUACUCCUCAUCCCCUGUAUCCUUUUAGUCAUUCUCCUCUGUAGUGAUUUUAAUAGACCUAUAUCUUUCCUGUAAUGUGGGGACCAGAACUGCACAGCGUAGUCUAGAUGAGGUCUGACCAGCGCCAAGUAUAACUUUAAUAUUACUUCCGGCCUUCUACUUUUAACACUCCUAAAAAUCACACACACCACAGGAGCCUCACAAACAGUCUCACAGCCUUCACAAGCAGCCCCACACUCCACCACAGACACACCAGACCCACAGCCCUUCACCUCACCCACUUCCCAGCCCCCCACAGCCCCCCGGCCACCACAGAUGAAGUCAAAGGGAGGGACUGUGGCUUCACCCAGCCAGCCAGGACAGCCUACAGAGAGGGGGUAGUCCCAGUCAAGUCACAAAAUAUAGGCUUGGUUCUUCCUAUAGUUUGAAGUCAAUGAUUGGACAGGCCAGACAGCUUAGUGGCAGAGCUGCAGGUGGUCCUCGUCAGCUUCCUGGUGGCACAGGUGUAGGAUGGCUGGGAGCAGUGGAGGUGCCUGAUGGGGCAGCUGUGCCGGGAAGAGGGGCUGCUACUGCUGCUGCUGCUGCUGCUACUGCUGCUGGGGAGAGCCACACUUGUAUGGUGGUAACACGGAGAGGAAGUGGAAGAAAGCUUGGAACGCUCCCAUAACUCAGGAGCAAGAGGUACACCAUACUGGAACCUUGUGACUGACAGGUGGCUGUGACUGCAGGAACCAAUUCAUAUCUCACUUGUGUUGGCUAACAUUCUGUCUGCAAUCAGUCCGGUAGUGCCAUGUUGCAGGCUCUGACGUCAGGAAGAGCCAAAUGGAGGGUGUGUCUACAGCCAGUACUGGGUGUGCUGCUGCUGUACAAGUGCCCCAAGCCAGCUGACUCCACCAGUGUAUUAUCUAGUCCAGGUUGCAUUGCUGUGUAUGACUUGUAUGUAUGUCUUUGCCAAUAAAUAAAUUUGUGACUACUAUUAUAUAUGUGAAAUAAAUAUAUAGUUUGCUAACAAUGUGCUGGUAUAGUGUAAAAUAAAUAUUUGGUGGUAACAAUUCAUGCCCUCAAGGUAAUAAAAAAAAAGUGCCAGGAUUGGCCCAAGGCCCAAAAAUAAAGUUUAAGGUAUGAUUUGCACAGAAGCCCCAUCCCAACGACACCAGUUGCUGGCACAGGGCUUCUAUGCGUUUUUUUUUUUCAGGGCAUGACCUGUACUCUGCCUGAAACUUUAUUUACACAAGAUGGAAUACUGAAUGUUUAUUGUUUUACUGUGAAUGUUAAGUGAAUAAAUACACAACAGGAUAAUAAACAUG